RNAcentral lists this ribosomal RNA (468 nucleotides) under uncultured bacterium. Its description in RNAcentral is "partial 16S ribosomal RNA". It matches the Rfam family "Bacterial small subunit ribosomal RNA", at positions 28 to 507 of the family's 1533-position model. The record is from RNAcentral.
GACGAACGCUGGCGACGUGCUUAACACAUGCAAGUCGAACGGAAAGGCCCUGCUUUUGUGGGGUGCUCGAGUGGCGAACGGGUGAGUAACACGUGAGUAACCUGCCCUUGACUUUGGGAUAACUUCAGGAAACUGGGGCUAAUACCGGAUAGGAGCUCCUGCUGCAUGGUGGGGGUUGGAAAGUUUCGGCGGUUGGGGAUGGACUCGCGGCUUAUCAGCUUGUUGGUGGGGUAGUGGCUUACCAAGGCUUUGACGGGUAGCCGGCCUCAGAGGGUGACCGGCCACAUUGGGACUGAGAUACGGCCCAGACUCCUACGGGAGGCAGCAGUGGGGAAUAUUGCACAUUGGGCGGAAGCCUGAUGCAGCAACGCCGCGUGCGGGAUGACGGCCUUCGGGUUGUAAACCGCUUUCGCCUGUGACGAAGCGUGAGUGACGGUAAUGGGUAAAGAAGCACCGGCUAACUACGUG